RNAcentral lists this ribosomal RNA (472 nucleotides) under uncultured Enterobacterales bacterium. RNAcentral describes it as "bacterial SSU rRNA". It matches the Rfam family "Bacterial small subunit ribosomal RNA", at positions 30 to 489 of the family's 1533-position model. The record is from RNAcentral. Lineage: Bacteria; Pseudomonadati; Pseudomonadota; Gammaproteobacteria; Enterobacterales.
AUUGAACGCUGGCGGCAGGCCUAACACAUGCAAGUCGAACGGUAGCACAGAGGAGCUUGCUCCUUGGGUGACGAGUGGCGGACGGGUGAGUAAUGUCUGGGAAACUGCCCGAUGGAGGGGGAUAACUACUGGAAACGGUAGCUAAUACCGCAUAACGUCGCAAGACCAAAGAGGGGGACCUUCGGGCCUCUUGCCAUCGGAUGUGCCCAGAUGGGAUUAGCUAGUAGGUGGGGUAACGGCUCACCUAGGCGACGAUCCCUAGCUGGUCUGAGAGGAUGACCAGCCACACUGGAACUGAGACACGGUCCAGACUCCUACGGGAGGCAGCAGUGGGGAAUAUUGCACAAUGGGCGCAAGCCUGAUGCAGCCAUGCCGCGUGUAUGAAGAAGGCCUUCGGGUUGUAAAGUACUUUCAGCGAGGAGGAAGGCGUUGUGGUUAAUAACCGCAACGAUUGACGUUACUCGCAGAAGAA